Molecule: long non-coding RNA, 772 nt
Organism: Anopheles merus
Lineage: Eukaryota; Metazoa; Arthropoda; Insecta; Diptera; Culicidae
Exons: 2
Source: RefSeq, a predicted model, not a curated record
GUUCUAUUCAAUCCUUGGUCUCAUCCUGUCAUCACACAGCGAGUCGUUUUUUCCUUUCUUGUCAAAUUGAUAUUGUAAUGCUUGUAUAGUUUGUGUCGUACGUUUGUGUAUUUGUCAGUCCGCUCAAUUGGACUCAUCAUAUUUUAAAUUACUUACUUUCUAAUGAGUUUUAUGAUUUUCAAACAUUUCGUCACAAUUUACUGCUUACACUAAAUUCUCAUAGAAUUUGUUUCGUGUUUUCAAAGUUUUACAAUUAGACUCAAUGAAAUCGGCCAAUCCAAAACUGAAAGUUGCCGAUGUAAAGCAUUCCAUAAUCGCUAUGAUGCUUUCAAAGAAAACGUUAAAAUACGAUCUAAGGCGAAUUCAGUUCAGUCAUUUUGCGCAGCAUAAACAAGUACAGCUCAAUAACGUUUUGUUAGAGGAGAAAUCAUCCAGCCAUGUUCUAUUAACAUAUAAGGCCUCGUAAUCAGCCUGUGUUAACAAGUUCACAUAAAAACAAAUGAGCUGCACACCGCUGUCGUCGAGAAAGUAAUUCUUGCCAUGAUAUCUUCCUGCAGAACGGCAACAAUCAGGCCAUCCAUAAGCUGCUUCACGUUGCGGUCUGCGAAGAGAAUUAUGAUAUUUGACACACCACCGUCACGUACAUAGGGUUCUGUAUCACUCGUCGGUAUAGUGUAAAUUAGAUAUAGGCAAGAAGAGGAAUUAGUGAGUUGCCGCAUUAGUGAGCGCUUUAUUCCUGAAAAAUAUGAUUCGCCCGCUCGCAUAAAAACAA